This 252-nucleotide ribosomal RNA is filed under the name uncultured bacterium. RNAcentral describes it as "partial 16S ribosomal RNA". It matches the Rfam family "Bacterial small subunit ribosomal RNA", at positions 524 to 776 of the family's 1533-position model. The record is from RNAcentral.
UACGGAGGGAGCUAGCGUUGUUCGGAAUUACUGGGCGUAAAGCGCACGUAGGCGGCUUUGUAAGUUAGAGGUGAAAGCCCGGGGCUCAACUCCGGAACUGCCUUUAAGACUGCAUCGCUUGAAUCCAGGAGAGGUGAGUGGAAUUCCGAGUGUAGAGGUGAAAUUCGUAGAUAUUAGGAAGAACACCAGUGGCGAAGGCGGCUCACUGGUCCGGUACUGACGCUGAGGUGCGAAAGCGUGGGAGCAAACAGG